UUUGUAGAAACUUAAAAAGUAUUUAACUGUUAAUUAAAAUAAAUGCAGGUUAAAAUCCUGUCUACAAAG
This 69-nucleotide transfer RNA is filed under the name Lophophysema eversa. RNAcentral describes it as "tRNA-Asn". It matches the Rfam family "tRNA". Rfam says of the family: Transfer RNA (tRNA) molecules are approximately 80 nucleotides in length. Their secondary structure includes four short double-helical elements and three loops (D, anti-codon, and T loops). Further hydrogen bonds mediate the characteristic L-shaped molecular structure. tRNAs have two regions of fundamental functional importance: the anti-codon, which is responsible for specific mRNA codon recognition, and the 3' end, to which the tRNAs corresponding amino acid is attached (by aminoacyl-tRNA synthetases). tRNAs cope with the degeneracy of the genetic code in two manners: having more than one tRNA (with a specific anti-codon) for a particular amino acid; and 'wobble' base-pairing, i.e. permitting non-standard base-pairing at the 3rd anti-codon position. Lineage: Eukaryota; Metazoa; Porifera; Hexactinellida; Amphidiscosida; Hyalonematidae. The record is from RNAcentral.